AGACUAAAUACUUAUAACUGAUUACAAUAAUGAACGAUCUGUUUUCCACCGAUUCCUUCCGCCAAGAGCAUCACCAAUAUCGCCACCAUGACACCGUCGAGAUGUCCGACAACUUGCCGUCCUCAACCACGAUCAAUCUCAACACCUUCUUCGACGACGUGGAGUCGGUCAAGGCGGAAUUAACAGAACUCGAAGGGCUCCACCGAAGCCUCCAGAAUUCUCACGAACAGAGCAAAACUCUACACAAUUCCAAGGCGAUUAAGGAUGUUCGAUCGCGAAUGGAGACGGCUGUGACAUUGGCUUUGAAGAAGGCUAGGUUUAUCAAGGUCCGGCUGGAGGAACUGGACCGGUCGAAUGAGGAGAACCGGAAGCUUCCUGGUUGUGGGUAUGGAUCCUCGGCGGACCGGUCGAGAACAUCGGUGGUGAGCGGAUUGAGGAAGAAGCUGUGUGAUUCAAUGGAGAGUUUUAACAGAUUGAGAGAAGAGAUAACGAAGACGUAUAAGGAGACGAUUGAACGGAGGUAUUUUACAAUUACAGGGGAAAAUCCGGAUGAGAAGACUGUUGAAUUGUUGAUCUCUACAGGUUUCAUUUUUAGUUCUUUCUUCCUCUUUUAUUUUUAACAUAAAAUUCAAAGUCUUCACCUUCAAAUUGUAUUUAAAAGAUUGAAUAUGAUAUAUACUAAAAUGAUGUGGGUAUAUAUGGUAAAGGUGAAAGUGAAACGUUCUUGCAAAAAGCAAUACAAAAGCAAGGAAGAGGAAGAGUUCUGGAAACAAUCCAAGAGAUUCAAGAAAGGCACGACGCAGUGAAAGACAUAGAGAGGAAUUUGAGAGAGUUGCACCAAGUUUUCUUGGACAUGGCGGUUAUGGUUCAAGCACAGGGGCAGCAGUUAGACGACAUCGAAAGCCAAGUUACUCGAGCCAACUCUGCUGUCAAGCGGGGCACGUCUCAGCUACAAACUGCAAGGUACUAUCAAAAAAACACUCGCAAAUGGAUCUGCAUAGGCGUCAGUGUUGGUGCUACAGUCAUUCUCAUCAUUAUAAUCGUUGCUAUCGCCCGCGCGAUAAAGAAAAAGGAUGGUUAGUUUGUUCUUUAAAUGAAAUUGAGAUGUAUUUUGUAUUUAGUUAAUUGUGUUAGUAAAACAAAUUGUUUGUUUUCCUAAUAUCCUAUGUUGAUGAAUUUCAAAUAACUUUAUGGAAAUGGUUGUGAUUAGUUAAUGUAACUUUCAAUAUGACUUAAUUACAUCAUAAUAUACUAUUUUUUAAAUAAUUAAAACAAUAUAAUGCUUCUAUACUAGUGUAUCGUAAAUAUUAUUGUAAAGUAAGAAACUUAAAAAUAAAUGAAAAGAUGGUUGCGUAAGAGGAAGAGUAGUUAUUGGUGUUAGUGUUAUGAUAAUUCUAGUUAGAGACGGAUUUAUUAAGAGAUUAUGAUACUCAAAACAUGAACUUUCAUAUUUUAAUAUUAAUUUUAAAGUGUAAGAUUACACUAUAUAUAUUAAAUAAUACUUUUUUUAACUAAAAUUUUAGUUAGUAAUGAUUGUGUUCCCGUUACAAAAUCACGAACAAAAUUUUAAUAACUCUAAAUGUCAAUUUUAUUAACAAAUUUCAAUAAGGUCAUAAAAACAAUGUUUUAAAAAGAGAGAACAAAAUCUAAUUAAGAUAAAACUCUAAUUUAUUUUCUAAUAAUCGUUUGUUAUCUAACAAAUAUUUAAAAAAAGAAUACAACAAACCAGCUAUCAAACUCACAUUUAUUUUCACUCUCUCACCAAUAUUCCAUGAAAAAUGUAUUUUUUAUGCAAUUUUUAAAUUCACAUUUAAAUCACGUGAAAAUUGUUAGUAUUUUCUUUAUUGCUACAAAUGUUAUUGAAGCAUCAAUGAAACGUUAAGAUAUUAUAUAGUGCUCAUUGCCCCGUAUAAAAUUUGUGUAAGUAAUAUUGGAGUUUGGAUAAAAUAUACUUAAUUUUUAUAUAAACAAAAAAACAAAAUAACUGCCAAAAUAAUUUUAAAAUUUAAAAACAAAAACAAAAUUAACUUAGACUAAGUUCCUAAGUUGGAAGGGGAUUAAAAAAGAUGUUUAAUUACUAUUAGUCUAUUUUGGUCCUUUUUUAUCUUCUAAGUUUGUUAAAAUUUGAGACUAUAUAGUUCUAAAUGCUACUUUUUCCAACAAUCCUCAAUUUAGUCUCUAAUACAAUUUUAUUAUUAAACUUUUUUUAAAGAAUUUUUUAUUCUCCAUAUUUUUACUAUAAAUUUUGAGAAUAUAUUCACAUAAUUUUUUGAAUGAAAAUUACUAUAUUAUUUAGUUAAUUUUUGUAGAUAUAUUAAAUUUUAAAAUAAAAUUUAUUGAAGGUAGAAAAAAUAAAAUCAGACAAUUAAAAAUGCAUCAACCGGACAAAAUUCAAGGUAAUAUAUGCAUUUUUUAACAAAUAAAAAAAAAUUAGGGUCGUGCGUUUAAUUUCAUGGGAUGGACAUCGUUUGAAGUACCACAUUUGUUUCACGGUGAUGUAAGGUGUUCAAAUAUUUAAAGAUUUUCGAACAUUCUAAAAUACACAAUUUGUGAUUUUAAAUGUCUUUACAAAAUAUUCCUACAAAAUUAAUAAUGUAAUUUCGAACCUCCACUACAAAAAAAAUCGAAUAAUUCCAACUUGGACGAGACCUAGAUGGCUAUGAGUUGACUUCCAAAUUUUCUACAAUGAUGUAACAUUCAAACUAAGAUCUAAAGUCUUUCACUCUUAUUUUAGUAACAACUUGUAUUCUUUUAGUUUAAAUGAAAAAGGAAAAAAAUGAUUAAAUUGACCUAGUCUUAAUUAGUUGUUCAAUAAUUCCUAAUUAAAUGAAACAUUCCCUAUAUCGAGUAAAAUAGAACUUAUAUAUAUGUAAUUCGGGGUGUAAUGUGGUUAGAUUAGAAGACAUUCUCAAUCCGAUUUCAUGUUAAUUAUUUGAGUUUUCUGGUUGUAUUUUUUUUUUCAUUUCUACCGAUUGUAAAGUUCAAAAUAGUUCUCAUUUUUAAAACAAAAAUUCAAAAUUGACGUACAUUCAGAUUUCAAACAUACAUAAUUCAAAAUUUCAUACAUACAUAAACUCAAUGUUUGAAGUAUUCAUAAAUUCAAAGUUACAAACAUAAAUAAGAAUGUCAUGCGUAAAGAAGGAGAAGAGAAAGACCUAAUUUUUUAAGUUUUAUUUUAUUACAUAAAUAUUAUAUAUCUACAUUAUAUAAAUUUGGGUUGGGUUUGGGUUGAACAAAAAAUUUUAACCUUCCAACUCGAGACUCAACCGAACUCGAAAAAAUUCAAUUUUUUAAAGUCAAUUCAUAUUUUAACUCUAAUCCAACCUAACUCAUAAUAUAAAUUGGAUAGUCCGAGUUGUCACAGAUUCAACCCAUAUUUUUAUAUACAGAUAAUAAUGCAAUAAUAUAGAAUGAGAUUGUCAGAGUGUAAUAUACUUGGUAUUAAUUCAAGUAUCACCCGGCCUCCACAAUUUAUUCUCAAUCAAUUUGUAAUGAUACUUUAUUUGAACUCAUAUAAAAUUCACACCUAUUUGGUUUUAAAGUUUAUCAAGUUAAAAAAUUUGUUUUUUUCAUAGCGGCCUCAUGAAGCUCUCUUUAAAGUAACUAUUAAAAUUUAUAUACUAUAGUCUUUAAUUUCAAUAUUCUUUAUGAUUGGACAAAUACGUUAAAAUGAAUGAAAUAUAAAUUGAACAUUGUGAACCUAAUAGAUCUUAAUGGUAAACGUUCACAUGUUCUAAAACUUGUAUCACAUAAAAUGUAAUAUACACACACAUAAGCUAAUACAGAUAUGACAUACACAUGUGUAUUUAUAUUUGACUCUCAACACAAUAAAUUUAUUUUUUUAGUUUUAAAGUUAAAUAUAUUUGGUGAAAAUAUCAAUUCAGAUUCUGAUUUUUUAAAACAAUUAAAGAUAAUUCGUUUGAAAAGUCUAACCUUCAUCACCUUCUUCAAUUUCCAAGUUCGUUGAUGUAACCAUUACAGCUCCUCCAUUGCCUACACACCAUCCUUAAAUCCCCGAUUUCCAUUCCAUUUCCCUCUUAUUUUCAUUCAAAAUCACACUAAAUACUUAUAACUGAUCACAAUAAUGAACGAUCUGUUUUCCACCGAUUCCUUCCGCCAAGAGCAUCACCAAUAUCGCCACCAUGACACCGUCGAGAUGUCCGACAACUCGCCCUCCUCAACCACGAUCAAUCUCAACACCUUCUUCGACGACGUGGAGUCGGUCAAGGCGGAAUUAACAGAACUCGAAGGGCUCCACCGAAGCCUCCAGAAUUCUCACGAACAGAGCAAAACUCUACACAAUUCCAAGGCGAUUAAGGAUGUUCGAUCGCGAAUGGAGACGGCUGUGACAUUGGCUUUGAAGAAGGCUAGGUUUAUCAAGGUCCGGCUGGAGGAACUGGACCGGUCGAAUGAGGAGAACCGGAAGCUUCCUGGUUGUGGGU
Molecule: long non-coding RNA, 4442 nt
Filed under: Cucumis sativus (cucumber)
Lineage: Eukaryota; Viridiplantae; Streptophyta; Magnoliopsida; Cucurbitales; Cucurbitaceae
Description: long non-coding RNA (CSAT_LNC002463)
Source: RNAcentral